GACGAACGCUGGCGGCGUGCCUAAUACAUGCAAGUUGAGCGCUGAAGGUUGGUACUUGUACCGACUGGAUGAGCAGCGAACGGGUGAGUAACGCGUGGGGAAUCUGCCUUUGAGCGGGGGACAACAUUUGGAAACGAAUGCUAAUACCGCAUAAAAACUUUAAACACAAGUUUUAAGUUUGAAAGAUGCAAUUGCAUCACUCAAAGAUGAUCCCGCGUUGUAUUAGCUAGUUGGUGAGGUAAAGGCUCACCAAGGCGAUGAUACAUAGCCGACCUGAGAGGGUGAUCGGACACAUUGGGACUGAGACACGGCCCAAACUCCUACGGGAGGCAGCAGUAGGGAAUCUUCGGCAAUGGACGAAAGUCUGACCGAGCAACGCCGCGUGAGUGAAGAAGGUUUUCUGAUCGUAAAACGCUGUUGGUAGAGAAGAACGUUGGUGAGAGUGGAAAGCUCAUCAAGUGACGGUAACUACCCAGAAAGGGACCGCUAACUACGUGC
Molecule: ribosomal RNA, 498 nt
Filed under: uncultured bacterium
Lineage: Bacteria
Description: partial 16S ribosomal RNA
Rfam family: Bacterial small subunit ribosomal RNA
Source: RNAcentral